AGAGAGAGACAUGCGCGCAUAUCAAUAAGCGGAGGAAAAGAAACUAACUAGGAUUCCCUUAGUAACGGCGAGUGAAGCGGGAAGAGCUCAAAUUUGAAAUCUUCAAGGUUUUACCUUGACGAAUUGUAGUUUAAAGAAGUGUUUUCUGCUGAAGUUUUGGUAAAAGUUCUUUGGAAUAGGACAUCAUAGAGGGUGAGAAUCCCGUAUUUGACCAUUAUUUUCAGCUUUGUGAUACACUUUCAAAGAGUCGGAUUGUUUGGGAAUGCAGUCCAAAAUGGGUGGUAAAUUUCAUCUAAAGCUAAAUAUUGGCGAGAGACCGAUAGCGAACAAGUACCGUGAGGGAAAGAUGAAAAGAACUUUGAAAAGAGAGUUAAACAGUACGUGAAAUUGUCAAAAGGGAAGCGUUUGACACCAGUGUUGUUUUCUCGAAAAUCAAUUAAAAAUGGCUCGAUUUUGUAUUGUUGAGACCUUAAAAGCUCACUAUACAUUUUUCGUGUCUUUUUUAAUGCACUUUUCGUUUAACAAGUCAACAUCAGCUUUCUUUUGUUGUAAAAGGGUCAUUGGAAGGUGGCUUUCUUUUCGGAGAAAGUGUUUAUAGCCUUUGGCCUCUGCAAUCGAAGAGACUGAGGUCUGCAGCGUAGACUCUUCGGGGUUAGAUACAUUUGUGCUAAGUUAUAGCUUUUUAUAGACAACUUGUUGACUAUAAUUAGUCUUGUAGCUUACUCGCUUAUGCUAUUUUACCUACGCUUAGGAUGUUGAGUCGUAGAGCACGCAG
Molecule: ribosomal RNA, 775 nt
Filed under: uncultured Neocallimastigales
Lineage: Eukaryota; Fungi; Neocallimastigomycota; Neocallimastigomycetes; Neocallimastigales
Description: partial large subunit ribosomal RNA
Rfam family: Eukaryotic large subunit ribosomal RNA
Source: RNAcentral